CCUACGGGUGGCUGCAGUGGGGGAUAUUGCACAAUGGGGUGAACCCUGAUGCAGCGACGCCGCGUGGGUGAAGAAUCGCCUCUGCGCUUUAAGCCCUGUCAGCAGGGGAGAAAAUCACGGUACCUGUAGAAGGAGCCCCGGCUAACCACGUGCCAGCAGCCGCUGUAAUACGUAGGGGGCAAGCGUUAUCCGGAUUUACUGGGUGUUAAGGGGGCUCAGACGGGGAUGCAAGCCAGGUGGGAAAGCCCGGGGCCCAACCCCGGCACUGCUCUUGUAACUGCGUGGCUGGAGUGCAGGAGGGGCAGGCGGAAUGCGUGGUGUAGCGGUGAAAUGCGUAGAUAUCAGGCGGAACACCGGUGGCGAAGGCGGCAUGCUGGACUGCAACUGACGUUGAGGCCCGAAAGCGUGGGGAUCGAACAGGAUUAGAUACCCGGGUAGUC
RNAcentral lists this ribosomal RNA (440 nucleotides) under uncultured bacterium. RNAcentral describes it as "partial 16S ribosomal RNA". It matches the Rfam family "Bacterial small subunit ribosomal RNA", at positions 338 to 795 of the family's 1533-position model. The record is from RNAcentral.